AGCAGCUGCGGAUUGCGGCCGGGGCGCAGCGUUCUGCGAUGUCGCUGGCUAGCAUGACGCAAAAGCUGGUUGGACAUAGCACCGAUGGCACCCGUCGACAGAGUCCACUGAGGCACUUCGUCGGCGCACCGCGCCGAAGACCGAAUCCGACGACCGAGAAUUAUGGAGGCGUCACUUAAAAUUAUACAGUCGUUAACCAGGCCCCCUAUUUCAUGUCCCUUAGCGUGGCUUUUCGUCAGCUUACUGCGACGAGUGCAGCGGGGAGGGCGGAAAAGCGAGGACGUGUUAUCUCAUACGAGCCCCUGGCGAUGAGGAUCAUUUUCGGCGUCGCGGCUACUGCGCCGAGUUGCCGCCGAUAGUGCCGCAGCAUAUGCGUUGGAGGAAAUGCACGUAAUGAGAAAGAAACGGCACUGGUUGCGUGCGCACUCGUUGAUCUGAGUGUAGGGAGGCUGCACCUUAGGUCGUAGAGGAAGAGAGAAAUGAGUCAACCGAAGUCGUCAGUGAUGCUGGCGUGCCGCUGAACGUGUCUACCAUUCAUUGGCGGAGCGACAAGAGCAGUACGCACUUGCGGAGCCUAUCAUCGUUUGUGCUCGACGUCCACCUUCGGACGCCCUGUCAAAGACGUAUCCGAGUCCACCGAGGUCGAUAGUCCCUCGAAUGACGACCGUGAUCAUGGAUCCGAACAUUAGCCCAAUUUGGAAGACGUCCGUCCACACGACAGCCUUCAUGCCACCCUGAAAGAGUAUUGGUACGACCCUGUGAAGAAACUCAAGCGGAAACCAACCAGCACGGUGCACCGAAUUCGCUUGAUGAUGCGUUCACCAAGUGCCCACACCACGAUCGCCGCAGUGCUACUGGACCACAGCGUGAACACCUUCAUAUUCCAGAGACGCUUGUAACACUCUUUCCACCAGCAUACUAGCAAGAACUACAGAAAUUGGCUUCUACGACUAAGCAGGUGGAAAGCCAUAGGCUCUUGGAAAACAUUUGGUUUGUUUAGGCUGACGCGAACUGUACGGCAGCGAUUAUAGUGACAAUUGUAGAUAUUUACAAGGAACUGGACAGAACUCGCAGCUUCUGCAAAUACCGUACUGUGGUUGACUUGUAGCCUAUGUGCGCGCCUCCCCACCACUCAUUUAAUUUCGCCUCCCCUUUCCCCCAUUAAUCAACCUUGACCUUCCUGCAUUUUUGUAAAUAAAUUGUUUCUCUUCCUCU
RNA transcript from Dermacentor albipictus, 1215 nucleotides. RefSeq lists it as uncharacterized. The record is from RefSeq and is a predicted model, not a curated record. Lineage: Eukaryota; Metazoa; Arthropoda; Arachnida; Ixodida; Ixodidae.